Molecule: transfer RNA, 71 nt
Filed under: Marmota monax (woodchuck)
Lineage: Eukaryota; Metazoa; Chordata; Mammalia; Rodentia; Sciuridae
Description: tRNA.Thr
Source: RNAcentral
GGGGUUGUGGCUCAGAGGAAGAGUGCUCACUUAGUAUGUGUGAGACACUGGGUUCGAUCUUCAGCACCACA